RNAcentral lists this ribosomal RNA (1684 nucleotides) under Physopyxis lyra. RNAcentral's name for it is "partial 16S ribosomal RNA". The stretch from base 173 to 1679 matches the Rfam family "Bacterial large subunit ribosomal RNA". Lineage: Eukaryota; Metazoa; Chordata; Actinopteri; Siluriformes; Doradidae. The record is from RNAcentral.
GCCAGACAGCUAGCUUAAAUCCCCAAAUAAACUAACACAACAUUAAAACACCUCACAAGCACUAUAACAUAAAAAACCAAAACAUUUUCCCGCCCAAGUAUGUGUGACAGAAAAGGCACCAUAAAGCUUUAGAAAAAGUUCCGCAAGGGAAUGCUGAAAGAGAAAUGAAACAAAUCAUUUGAAGCACAAUAAAGCAGAGACUAGCCCUCGUACCUUUUGCAUCAUGAUUUAGCCAACCCUAUUGAGCAAAGUGUACUUUAGUUCAAAACCCCGAAACUAAGUGAGCUACCCCGAGACAGCCUAUUAAUUAGGGCCAACCCGUCUCUGUGGCAAAAGAGUGGGAAGAUCUCCAGGUAGCGGUGACAGACCUACCGAACUUAGUUAUAGCUGGUUGCCUAGGAAACGAAUAGAAGUUCAGCCUCGUACUCCUCAACUCACAAACUCAACUGUAAAUAUGAGCCAGAGAAAAAUACGAGAGUUAAUCAUAGGGGGUACAGCCCCUAUGAAACAGGAUACAACCUCCUCAGGAGGCUAUAGAUUACAUUAACUAAGAUAUGCUGCUCCAGUGGGCCUAAAAGCAGCCACCUUAACAGAAAGCGUUAAAGCUCUGGCAGCCCAAAAAUCUAUUAUUCAAAUAAUACAUCUAAUGCCCCUAAUUAUACUAGGCUAUUCUAUGCCCCCAUAGAAGAAAUACUGCUAAAAUGAGUAAUAAGAAGUAAAAAUACUUCUCCCGGCCCACGUGUACGCUAGAUCGGACCCCCCACUAGCAAUUAUCGAGCCCAACAAAAGAGGGCACUAUGAAUUCAUUAAAUAACAAGAAACCACCAUAAAAUUAAAUCGUUAACCCCACACUGGAGGGCCCCAAAGGAAAGACUAAAAGAAAAGGAAGGAACUCGGCAAACACAAGCCUCGCCUGUUUACCAAAAACAUCGCCUCCUGCAAAACUCAAUGUAUAGGAGGUCUUGCCUGCCCAGUGACAAGUUAAACGGCCGCGGUAUUUUGACCGUGCGAAGGUAGCGCAAUCACUUGUCUUUUAAAUGAAGACCUGUAUGAAUGGCGGAACGAGGGCUUAGCUGUCUCCCUUUUCAAGUCAAUGAAAUUGAUCUGCCCGUGCAGAAGCGGGCAUACCCCUACAAGACGAGAAGACCCUUUGGAGCUUAAGAUACAAGAUCAACUACGUCAAGAACCCAUAAAUCAAGUUAAACCCAGUAGAACCUGAUCCCUAUCUUCGGUUGGGGCGACCACGGGAGAAAAUAAAGCUCCCACGAAGACUGGGGCCUACCCCCUAAAACUAAGAAAGACACUUCUAAGUCUCAAAACAUCUGACCAUUAAGACCCGGCUCUCCGCCGAUCAACGGACCAAGUUACCCUAGGGAUAACAGCGCAAUCCCCUUUCAGAGUCCAUAUCGACAAGGGGGUUUACGACCUCGAUGUUGGAUCAGGACAUCCUAAUGGUGCAGCCGCUAUUAAGGGUUCGUUUGUUCAACGGUUAAAGUCCUACGUGAUCUGAGUUCAGACCGGAGUAAUCCAGGUCAGUUUCUAUCUGUAACGUCACUUUUUCCUAGUACGAAAGGACCGGAAAAAGAGGGCCCAUGUUGCCAACACGCCCUACCCCCAUUUAAUGAAAACAACUAAAUUAAAUAAAGGGAGAACAAACCCUAAAAUCAAGAUAAGAUUAUUAAGG